GCGCUCGGGUGAGCCCUCGGGAGGCGUCGGGAACGUUCGGGAGCGCUCGGGCCGGGCCGGAGGCGGAGCCGAGCUUUAGUUUGGCCUCGGCCGGGCCGGGAGGCGGUGCCGGAACGCUACAGAAACGCACAAAAUAAUAACGGGGAAAUAAUAUAAAAUAAAAUGGGGGAAAUAAUGUAAAAUAAAAUGUGGGAAAUAAUAGAAAUAAUACAAAACAAAAUGGGGGAAAUAAUAAAAAUAAUGCAAAAUAAAAUGGGGGAAAUAAUACAAAAUUAAAUGGGGGAUAUAAUAGAAAUAAUACAAAAUAAAAUGGGGAAAAUAAUACAAAACAAAAUGGGGGAAAUAAUGAAAAUAAUACAAAACAAAAUGGGGGAAAUAAUAAAAAUAAUACAAAAUUAAAUGGGGGAAAUAAUACAAAAUAAAAUGGGGGAAAUAAUAGAAAUAAUACAAAAUAAAAUGGGAAAAAUAAUAAAAAUAAUACAAAAUUAAAGGGGAAAAUAAUCAAAAUAAUACAAAAUUAAAUGGGGAAAAUAAUCAAUACAAAAUAAAAUGGGGGAAAUAAUAAAAAUAAUACAAAAUAAAAUGGAGGAAAUAAUACAAACAAUGCAAAAUAAAAUGGGGGAAAUAAUAAAAAUAAUACAAAUUAAAAUGGGGGAAAUAAUCAAAUUAGUGCAAAAUAAAAUGGUGGUGAGGGGGGAAGAAAAAUAUAAAAUAACAUGGGGGAUGGAAGGGGAAAAGAAAAUUUAAAAAUACAAAAUAAAGAGGAGGAAAAAAAUAGAAAAAAAAAUUUAAAAGUGGGGGAAGGGGGAAAAAGGGAAAUAAAGAGAAAAAAAAAGAGGAAAAAAAGAGAAAAAAAGAAGAAAAAAAAUUAAAAAUUGGGGAAAAAAAGGUAAAAAAAAAAAAAAAAGGCCAAAGCAGCUGAGCCGAGAGCAGAGGAGGGAAUUUGGGAAUUUUGGAAUUUCUCUCCCGGGAUUUUGGGAGAUUCCACCCAGGGAGGGGAAAAAAAGGAAACAUUUCGUUUAAAAAAGUGGAAAAAUGUGAAAAUUCUCCCAAAUUUUGGAAUUUUUUUGGGGAAUUGCAGCGUGGGACUGGAGCGUUCUGGGCAGGAAUUGGUUAAUUUGAAAUGGAGUUUGACUUGUGUUUAUUUCAGUUUUAUUUUUAUUUAAUUUAUUUUUACUUUUUAUUUUUAAAAUUUGUAUUUAAUUUAUUUUUAUUUUAAAUUUUAUUUUUAUUUAUUUUUAAAUUUAUUUUUAUUUAUUUUUAUUUUUUUACUUUAUUUUUUCUAGAUUUAAUUUAAUUUUUAAUUUAUUAAAAUUUUUCUAUAUUUUUUUUAAUUCAACUGAAUUUAAUUUGAAUUCUCUUCACCUUUAAAAUUUAUUUUAAAAGCUUUUCUUCCAUUUACUUUAAAUAUUUGAACUCGUUUUUUAAACCUCUUUUAAAUAAUUUUGAUCCAUCUUUUAUUUCUUUUAAAUAAUUCCAUUUAAUUCUUUAUUCCUUUUUAAAUAAUUUUGCAAUUUAUCCUUUAUUUUUUACAAUAUCUUUGAAAUUUAUCCUUUAUUUAUUUUAAAUACUUUAAAACUUAUUUUAAAUCUAUUUUUAAUUGUUUAAAUUUUAUUUUUAUUUCUUUUAAAUAUUUUCCAUUUAUCUUUUUCAUUGAAAUUAUUGGUUUUCUUGUCUUGAAAUUUGAAUUUUUUCACACAUUUCCUUCUUUAUUUAAUAUUAUUUUAAAUUUCUAUUUUAUUUUCUUUGGAAUUUUAAAUCAUUUUCAAUUUCAUUUUUUAAAAACUUAUAUUUUUUUUUUAACAUUUCCCAUAUUUAUUUGGAAUUUUGUUGAUUUUUUCCCAAUUUUUUUGUUGGGGGGAACCGACCCGUGCAGGACGUGGAGCCCCGGCCAGAGGGGACACCCCGGGGACACCCAGGGGACACCCCGGGGACCUGGGAGGUGACACCAAGGGUGACCUCGAAGGUGACCCCAAAGUGACAUCGAAGGUGACCCCAAAGGUGACUUUGAGGUUGACCCAGAGGGUGACCCCAGUGGUGACCUGGGAGGUGACCCAAAGGUGACCUCAAGGGUGACACUGAAGGUGACCCUGAGGGCAGCCCUGGAGGUGACCCAAAGGUGACACUGAAGGUGACUUUGAGGUUGACCCAGAUCUGGGGUGACCCCAAAGGUGACCCUGAGGGUGACCCCAGUGGUGACCUGGGAGGUCACCCAAAGGUGACCUCAACGGUGACCCCAAAGGUGACACCAAAGGCCACCUUGAAGGCGGAGUCACCCCAAAGGUGACCCUGAGGGUGACCUCAAAGGUGGGGUCAUCCCAAAAGUGACCCCGAAGGCAACCCCGCAGGUGACCCCCAGGGUGACCCCAAAGGUGACCACAAAAGUGACCAGCAGGUCACGAAGGUGUCCACCAGGGUGACCUCAAAGUUGACCCCAAGGGUGACCCUGAAGGUGACCCCAAAGGUGAACCCAAGGGUGACCACAAGGGCGACCACAAGGAUGACCCCAAAGGUGACCUUGAAGAUGACCCCAAAGGUGACCACAAGGGUGACCGUGAGAGCGACCCCAAAGGUGACCCUGAAGGUGACCACGAGGGCAACCACAAGGGUGACCAUGAGGGUGAGCCCAAAGGUGACCCUGAUGGCACCCCCAAAGGUGAACCCAAGGGUGACCACAAGGUGACCCAGAGGUGACCAUGAAGGCACUCCAAGAGUGCCCCAGAGGUGAACCCAAGGGUGACCCCAAGGUGCCCCAAAGGUGACCCUGAUGGUGACCCAAGGUGAACCCAAGGGUGACCCAAAGGUGACCCUGAUGGUGACACCAAGGUGCCCCAAAGGUACCCCAAGGGUGACCACAAGGUGCCACAAAGGUGAACCCAAGGUGAC
Molecule: long non-coding RNA, 2886 nt
Organism: Passer domesticus (house sparrow)
Lineage: Eukaryota; Metazoa; Chordata; Aves; Passeriformes; Passeridae
Exons: 3
Source: RefSeq, a predicted model, not a curated record